RNAcentral lists this ribosomal RNA (254 nucleotides) under uncultured bacterium. Its description in RNAcentral is "partial 16S ribosomal RNA". It matches the Rfam family "Bacterial small subunit ribosomal RNA", at positions 524 to 777 of the family's 1533-position model. The record is from RNAcentral.
UACGAAGGGGGCUAGCGUUGCUCGGAAUUACUGGGCGUAAAGGGCGCGUAGGCGGACAGCUUAGUCAGAGGUAAAAGCCCAGGGCUCAACCUUGGAACUGCCUUUGAUACUGGCUGUCUUGAGUUCGGGAGAGGUGAGUGGAAUGCCGAGUGUAGAGGUGAAAUUCGUAGAUAUUCGGCGGAACACCAGUGGCGAAGGCGACUCACUGGCCCGAUACUGACGCUGAGGCGCGAAAGCGUGGGGAGCAAACAGGG